This 497-nucleotide ribosomal RNA is filed under the name uncultured bacterium. RNAcentral describes it as "partial 16S ribosomal RNA". It matches the Rfam family "Bacterial small subunit ribosomal RNA", at positions 28 to 507 of the family's 1533-position model. The record is from RNAcentral.
GAUGAACGCUGGCGGCGUGCCUAAUACAUGCAAGUCGAGCGAACGGACGAGAAGCUUGCUUCUCUGAUGUUAGCGGCGGACGGGUGAGUAACACGUGGAUAACCUACCUAUAAGACUGGGAUAACUUCGGGAAACCGGAGCUAAUACCGGAUAAUAUUUUGAACCGCAUGGUUCAAAAGUGAAAGACGGUCUUGCUGUCACUUAUAGAUGGAUCCGCGCUGCAUUAGCUAGUUGGUAAGGUAACGGCUUACCAAGGCAACGAUGCAUAGCCGACCUGAGAGGGUGAUCCGCCCCACUGGAACUGAGACACGGUCCAGACUCCUACGGGAGGCAGCAGUAGGGAAUCUUCCGCAAUGGGCGAAAGCCUGACGGAGCAACGCCGCGUGAGUGAUGAAGGUCUUCGGAUCGUAAAACUCUGUUAUUAGGGAAGAACAUAUGUGUAAGUAACUGUGCACAUCUUGACGGUACCUAAUCAGAAAGCCACGGCUAACUACGUG